GAGAAUAAUAAUGUCCAAGAUGCAUAAGCACAAAUGCCCUUUGUGUUUAUUCUGUUGAGGAACGACAUAAGAUAAUUGUGAUGAUCCAGGAUGAAUGUCUUAUGUUGACUCAUAGCCUGCUCAAUAGUCAGGCCAUCAAGGUUAUGGGCGAUAUGGGCGGCCUCGAUUGAACUUCUCUGUCCAAUUUUGCUAUAUGGUGGGAAUUCCUGCAAGUUUUAGCCGGUCAUAGGCCCAUUUGUCCUCUAAGUACCAGAAGGAAAAAACAAGUAUCAAAUUUUCUGCAUUUUACGCGAAAGAUGCCCCAAACUUCAAGUUCCAAGCAUAGCCCAAGUUACCUGCUAUUAUCUGAGGAACUUUCUCCGCAUGUUGUCCUUGAUUGCCAGAAAACACUUCAAGUAUCUCAUUGAAUGAGUCAAAACUACCUGAAUCCUCUUUGAUUAAGGAUUUCGUCUCUUGUA
Rhodamnia argentea is the source of this 458-nucleotide long non-coding RNA. RefSeq lists it as uncharacterized. The transcript is spliced from 3 exons. NCBI's taxonomy places the organism in Eukaryota, Viridiplantae, Streptophyta, Magnoliopsida, Myrtales, Myrtaceae. The record is from RefSeq and is a predicted model, not a curated record.